RNAcentral lists this ribosomal RNA (253 nucleotides) under uncultured bacterium. Its description in RNAcentral is "partial 16S ribosomal RNA". It matches the Rfam family "Bacterial small subunit ribosomal RNA", at positions 524 to 776 of the family's 1533-position model. The record is from RNAcentral.
UACGUAGGGGGCAAGCGUUGUCCGGAUUUAUUGGGCGUAAAGAGCGUGUAGGCGGUCAGGUAGGUCGGUUGUGAAAACUGGAGGCUCAACCUUCAGAGGUCGACCGAAACCCCCUGGCUAGAGUCCGGGAGAGGAGAGUGGAAUUCCUGGUGUAGCGGUGAAAUGCGCAGAUAUCAGGAAGGACACCCGUGGCGAAAGCGGCUCUCUGGAACGGUACUGACGCUGAGACGCGAAAGCGUGGGGAGCGAACAGG